UGUGCAGGCGGUCCGCAAAGUCUGAUGUGAAACGCCCCGGGCUCAACCUGGGAACUGCAUUGGAAACUAACGGGCUUGAGUGUGGCGGAGGGGGGUGGAAUUCCACGUGUAGCAGUGAAAUGCGUAGAGAUGUGGAGGAACACCGAUGGCGAAGGCAGCCCCCUGGGCUAACACUGACGCUCAGGCACGAAAGCGUGGGAGCAAACA
This 207-nucleotide ribosomal RNA is filed under the name uncultured bacterium. RNAcentral describes it as "partial 16S ribosomal RNA". It matches the Rfam family "Bacterial small subunit ribosomal RNA", at positions 568 to 774 of the family's 1533-position model. The record is from RNAcentral.